GUGAGGAAUAUUGGUCAAUGGGCGAGAGCCUGAACCAGCCAAGUCGCGUGAAGGAUGAAGGUUUUAUGAAUUGUAAACUUCUUUUGCAGGGGAAUAAAGUACGGUACGUGUACCGUUUUGUAUGUACUCUGCGAAUAAGGAUCGGCUAACUCCGUGCCAGCAGCCGCGGUAAUACGGAGGAUCCAAGCGUUAUCCGGAUUUAUUGGGUUUAAAGGGUGCGCAGGCGGAUUGAUAAGUCAGCGGUGAAAGUUUGCAGCUUAACUGUAAAAUUGCCGUUGAAACUGGCGAUCUUGAGUGCAAAUGAGGUAAGCGGAAUGUGUUGUGUAGCGGUGAAAUGCUUAGAUAUAACACAGAACACCGAUUGCGAAGGCAGCUUACUGGGAUGCAACUGACGCUCAUGCACGAAAGCGUGGGGAUCAAACAGGAUUAGAAACCCCAGUAGUCC
Molecule: ribosomal RNA, 445 nt
Filed under: uncultured bacterium
Lineage: Bacteria
Description: partial 16S ribosomal RNA
Rfam family: Bacterial small subunit ribosomal RNA
Source: RNAcentral